UUAAUUUUCUUUAUCAAGACUCAGACGUUACCAAUUCAACUGGGUUAUAGGGUUGGGUUGGCGGGUAUCGUUAGACUGACCCGCCAAAACAGCAGAGGCGUUUCGGCCACCACGGGUUGAGAUUGGAGGCCGAAGCCCCCGGGAGCGCGAAGCCCCUCUCAGUAAUGAUCCUUCCGCAGGUUCACCUACGGAAA
Molecule: unclassified non-coding RNA, 194 nt
Filed under: uncultured fungus
Lineage: Eukaryota; Fungi
Description: sequence contains ITS1
Source: RNAcentral